Molecule: long non-coding RNA, 247 nt
Filed under: Nicotiana benthamiana
Lineage: Eukaryota; Viridiplantae; Streptophyta; Magnoliopsida; Solanales; Solanaceae
Description: long non-coding RNA (NBEN_LNC025796)
Source: RNAcentral
CUAUUAUUGAAAAGGAGUUAUCCUCCUCAAAAUCCUUCCCCCCUUGGUCGAGUUGGCUUAAGCCCGAAUCCAUCCUUACGGAAGAAGGGCGGGAUAUCGGCUACGAGAGAGAGUCCUUGUUGUUCACCUCCGCCUCCCGACGCUGCUGACCCCUACCGGGACCUUUUUCCUUUAUUCGCUACAAGACUGGUCCAAAAUUCUAGUUCGUUGCACUCACCCUUCGUUUCUGUUAAUCAUUCAUGACCCC